AGAGCGCGGCACACAGCUCAGUAACACGUGGCUAACCUGCCCUCGGGACGGGAACACCCCCGGGAAACUGGGGCUAAUUCCCGAUAGGCGAAGAACUCUGGAAUGAGUCUCCGCCCAAAAGACGCUUAGAUCACGCUUUUAAGCGCCGCCCAAGGAUGGGGCCGCGACCGAUCAGGUUGUUGGUGAGGUAACGGCCCACCAAGCCUUUUACCGGUGCGGGCCGUGGGAGCGGGAGCCCGGAGAUGGGCACUGAGACAAGGGCCCAGGCCCUACGGGGCGCAGCAGUCGCGAAAACUUUGCAAUAAGCGAAAGCUUGACAGGGCUAUCCCGAGUGCCAUCCGCUGAGGAAGGCUUUUACCCAGUCUAGAACGCUGGGAGAAUAAGGAGAGGGCAAGUCUGGUGUCAGCCGCCGCGGUAAUACCAGCUCUCCGAGUGGUGUGGAUGUUUAUUGGGCCUAAAGCAUCCGUAGCUGGCCAGGCAAGUCCCCUGUUAAAUCCACCGAAUCAAUCGUUGGAUUGCGGGGGAUACUGCUCGGCUAGGGGACGAGAGAGGCCGACGGUAUUUCCGGGGUAGGGGUGAAAUCCUAUAAUCC
RNAcentral lists this ribosomal RNA (592 nucleotides) under uncultured Thermoprotei archaeon. RNAcentral's name for it is "bacterial SSU rRNA". It matches the Rfam family "Archaeal small subunit ribosomal RNA", at positions 73 to 648 of the family's 1478-position model. The record is from RNAcentral. Lineage: Archaea; Thermoproteati; Thermoproteota; Thermoprotei.